AGUGAACGCUGGCGGUAGGCCUAACACAUGCAAGUCGAACGGCAGCACAGUAAGAGCUUGCUCUUACGGGUGGCGAGUGGCGGACGGGUGAGGAAUACAUCGGAAUCUACUUUUUCGUGGGGGAUAACGUAGGGAAACUUACGCUCAUACCGCAUACGACCUACGGGUGAAAGCAGGGGAUCUUCUGACCUUGCGCGAUUGAAUGAGCCGAUGUCGGAUUAGCUAGUUGGCGGGGUAAAGGCCCACCAAGGCGACGAUCCGUAGCUGGUCUGAGAGGAUGAUCAGCCACACUGGAACUGAGACACGGUCCAGACUCCUACGGGAGGCAGCAGUGGGGAAUAUUGGACAAUGGGCGCAAGCCUGAUCCAGCCAUACCGCGUGGGUGAAGAAGGCCUUCGGGUUGUAAAGCCCUUUUGUUGGGAAAGAAAAGCAGCAGGUUAAUACCCCGCUGUUCUGACGGUACCCAAAGAAUAAGCACCGGCUAACUUCGUG
Molecule: ribosomal RNA, 492 nt
Filed under: uncultured bacterium
Lineage: Bacteria
Description: partial 16S ribosomal RNA
Rfam family: Bacterial small subunit ribosomal RNA
Source: RNAcentral